AAUAGGUGCUGCAUCGCCCCCACCGCUUCGCCUCAAUUGGCACCAGCGCAGGCCACCCCGCCGCUCGACCUUGACUCGCACCAGAGGCGACCACCACCAUCCUCGCUGCUCCCUACCCUCCCCCAGCCCGAUAUGGAUGCCUAACCCGCGGGAACGGGCAGGCGGACGGCGGGCGAUGUGAGGCGCGGUGGCGGCACGAGGAAGAUGGGCAGAUCCGGGCACGGCGUUGACCGAUCUGGCGGCUGGUGCGCGGCUUGUUCCGGUCCCAACGACAUCCUGCUCAUCCAUAGAAGGAGAGAGAAGGGCCCGAGGGAGAGAGGAAACAGAUGAAGAAAGGAGAAGGGGCAUACGCAGGGUGAGGGAGGAAGUCGCCGGCGGUGGCGGCUCCGGUGACUGGCCGACGGGCUUGCUAGGCAAGGCUAAGGAGUACGCUAGCCUGAGAUUCGAUAGAGCAUGAAUUGAAUGAAUUUUGCACCACGGGGAAGAAGUUGUGGUGGCGGCGAAUUAUGUAGCCAUUGUCUCUCACGACUGCCGGCCCCUGCUCGCGACAUCUCUACUGAAGCCGCCUCUGCCUACUCUGAGGAGGAGAGCAAUGGAAAUAACACCCCGUCGUGGUCCUGGUGCUUCUCUCCGUGGGUUCGCUUGCUCACCUCGGCGUUUGCGGCUUCUACAGGUACGUACUAGACAACUACCCAUUGUUUUUGUUUUCUAUUGACAGUUUGAUCGCUUCAUCAAUCCUUCUAGAGGGUCUUGACAGGAAGGACUGAGCAGCCAUUGUGCUGGAGUAGACUGUGUGACAGGUUUUUUCCUCUCUCUCCUACCCGUGAUUGGUUUCUUUGGUGAAGAAAGCAUCACUGUCUUUCAAUACAUCAUGGAUGCUCAACCUGUAUGUCUACAUGGUACAAGAAUGAAGAUUAACCAUUCAAUCUAUUGAUUCAGAGUGAGACAAGGGUGAAACAGAAUAAGCUCAUUUUUGUGAUGAGUUCCCUAGGCCCCAGAAGGCCAGAACUAGCAUUUUAAUUACAAAAUUCAGUUUUUGAUCACGUUAUUUCAGUUUCAUUAUAGACCUUAUAAUAUUUUUUAUGGAUUAAUAUAAGGUUUAUAAUAUUUUGUGGAGCAAUUAGUUGUGCAUAGAAAAGAGCUCACCUAAAUUAAUGACAUGUUCAUCUUAUCUUCGAUUAAAAAAAUUUGCCCCCUAAUAUUCAGUUCUACUGAGAGUUGUAGAAGGCAAAAAUCCAGCAAAUUAACUCAAGUAAGUGUUUUUGUUAUUUCCCAAUGUAAUUAAAAAUUUUCUUCUCAAAAUACGACAUGGUCAUUGUCGGAAAAGAAUAUUUAGCAUGAAUGUAGGUGCUUUCAUAUGAAGCUGGACAUGUUUACAAUGAUCGACCGGAUACCGUUACACGUGUCCUGAAUAUGAAGUUUAAUGAUUUCUGAGAAGAUGUUAAAAGUGGACAUUUGUUUCGUACAAUUCAAGCAUUUUAUACAUGAUGGAGUUCCAGAAUAGAGGCUUGCCUCAUACUCAUACUUCAAUUCGGCUUAUAUGGAACAAUCAUGAGCCUUCGGCCUCCUUCAUAGAUGGUUUGAUUUCGGCUGAGAUACCUGAUCGUUUGGUUGAGCCCUGGGUUAUGCUCUUAUGGAUUAAUUUAUGGUUCACGGUCCAUGUGGAGACUACAAAGUAAAGUGUGCAUGUAUGAAAGAUGGAUUGUGUUCCAAAAGAUUUCCCAAAGAUUUUAAUGAGCAGACGUCGGUUGAUGAUAGAGGCUUUCCUAUAUAUCAUAGACGUGAUUUGGGUUACUAUGUGAGGAACAAGGGUACUGUUAAGCUGGAUAAUCGAUGGGUAGUUUUCAUAUAAUAGUUUUGGUAAUGUAAUUAUUAAUGUAUUUUUCUUCUUGCGAAGCGUACUGGCAUAUGUUUGCUUUCAAUAUACAUGGUCGUGAGCCUGCAGUGGAGAGAUUGGUUGUGCA
This is a long non-coding RNA of Triticum dicoccoides, 1964 nucleotides long. RefSeq lists it as uncharacterized. The record is from RefSeq and is a predicted model, not a curated record. The transcript is spliced from 4 exons. NCBI's taxonomy places the organism in Eukaryota, Viridiplantae, Streptophyta, Magnoliopsida, Poales, Poaceae.